RNAcentral lists this ribosomal RNA (450 nucleotides) under uncultured bacterium. RNAcentral describes it as "bacterial SSU rRNA". It matches the Rfam family "Bacterial small subunit ribosomal RNA", at positions 8 to 506 of the family's 1533-position model. The record is from RNAcentral.
AGGGUUUGAUUCUGGCUCAGAACGAACGCUGGCGGCAGGCCUCAUACAUGCAAGUCGAGCGGUCCUUCGGGACAGCGGCGAACGGGUUAGUAACGCGUGGGAACGUGCCCUUUAGUACGGAAUAGCCAUUGGAAACGAUGAUUAAUACCGUAUACGCCCCAAGGGGGAAAGAUUUAUCGCUAAAGGAUCGGCCCGCGUUAGAUUAGGUAGUUGGUAGGGUAACGGCCUACCAAGCCGACGAUCUAUAGCUGGUUUGAGAGGAUGAUCAGCAACACUGGGACUGAGACACGGCCCAGACUUCUACGGAAGGCAGCAGUAGGGAAUCUUGGACAAUGGGCGAAAGCCUGAUCCAGCCAUGCCGCGUGAGUGAUGAAGGCCCUAGGGUUGUAAAGCUCUUUCGCCAGGGAAGAUAAUGACGGUACCUGGUAAAGAAACCCCGGCUAACUCCGU